GGCUGCUGGUCGUUGCUACCUGUGGUGAAGGCAUGCAUCGGGAUGGUGAAAUAACAGGUUUCCACUCUGGGAUUGUCUUCUAGGGCCAACUUUCACCAAUGGAAGUAAAAUUUGUUUUUCCAGCACUCUGGCUUGCUACCUGACCUCAGCCACUGUCUCAUCUUGUGACUUGCCAAUAUUCC
Molecule: long non-coding RNA, 182 nt
Filed under: Apteryx owenii (little spotted kiwi)
Lineage: Eukaryota; Metazoa; Chordata; Aves; Apterygiformes; Apterygidae
Description: lncRNA (ENSAOWG00000009465.1)
Source: RNAcentral